This 222-nucleotide ribosomal RNA is filed under the name Bacillus velezensis. RNAcentral describes it as "partial 16S ribosomal RNA". It matches the Rfam family "Bacterial small subunit ribosomal RNA", at positions 1320 to 1533 of the family's 1533-position model. The record is from RNAcentral. Lineage: Bacteria; Bacillati; Bacillota; Bacilli; Caryophanales; Bacillaceae.
GUGAAGCUGGAAUCGCUAGUAAUCGCGGAUCAGCAUGCCGCGGUGAAUACGUUCCCGGGCCUUGUACACACCGCCCGUCACACCACGAGAGUUUGUAACACCCGAAGUCGGUGAGGUAACCUUUAUGGAGCCAGCCGCCGAAGGUGGGACAGAUGAUUGGGGUGAAGUCGUAACAAGGUAGCCGUAUCGGAAGGUGCGGCUGGAUCACCUCCUUUCUAAGGA